UGCUCUGUGUGCUUUUGCACAGACGAACCUAUUUUCAGAGUACCUGUGAGUGCAGUGUGCAUGGGAGGUACCCGAGGAGCUUGAAGAGGGGAGCCUGAGUCACGCCUUUCUCCUUCUGUUUCUGCACUGUUACCCUUCAGCGCAUGGGAAGGAGUGGGACAGCCUGCGCUAUUUUAAGGAGUGGAAGAGCACGUACAUUUCCAAGAAAUUCGUAUCACGUCAGUCUCUCAUGUCAGAGGCUGGUCUGUGCUUUGUGAUCUCGUCUGACCAUCUGGAUGAACACCUCCGUGGUGUGCUCCAGUCCCGGGCUAUCAAACAGCUCCGCUCUGCAGAUUUCAGAAAACAGAUCCUCGCUCGUCAAACUUGAGAUCAGCUGUUGGGCUCAAUGAAUUGGGAUGCAUCUUCUGUGAGUUAAAUUAAUAAAUCCCUCAAUAGUUGGGAGAAAAUGCUUGAAAGAGGAAUAAUCUAGUAAGUGUUGCAUUGAUCUGAAUUAUGUAAAUUCCGCCUGUUCAAAGGGCUGCUCAAUUCAGCUCAUCUGUUUAAAU
Molecule: long non-coding RNA, 545 nt
Filed under: Gallus gallus (chicken)
Lineage: Eukaryota; Metazoa; Chordata; Aves; Galliformes; Phasianidae
Description: long non-coding RNA NONGGAT009033
Source: RNAcentral